CCUCCUAUCGCGAUCGACUUUACUCCGAGCUUCUUUCGAACUUCGUCAAUGUCCGGGCUUCCCCAGCAAUAGGACUUCUACAGUAACCAGACUCCAUCCAAAUUUCUACAGUGAUCGACCGCCUUCCGAAUUUCAUCCGAGCUUCUACAGUAAGCAAAUUCCGUCCGAACUUCUACAAUAAGCAGUCUCCAUUCGGACUUCCACGGCAACCGAUCUUCGUCCAAGUUUCUACAAUAAGCGAUCUCCAUCCGGACU
Molecule: long non-coding RNA, 255 nt
Filed under: Elaeis guineensis (African oil palm)
Lineage: Eukaryota; Viridiplantae; Streptophyta; Magnoliopsida; Arecales; Arecaceae
Description: long non-coding RNA (EGUI_LNC013380)
Source: RNAcentral